Molecule: long non-coding RNA, 554 nt
Organism: Triticum dicoccoides
Lineage: Eukaryota; Viridiplantae; Streptophyta; Magnoliopsida; Poales; Poaceae
Exons: 5
Source: RefSeq, a predicted model, not a curated record
CAUGGAUCCACUAUGGCUGCUUCGUCCUUCACUUAGGACCUUCUCACCCCCACAGAGAUCAGAGAGAAAAAUAUAUCUUGGAAGCAGGAACCCUUACCUCAUAAGAUGGGUUAUGACUAUGCCGUAGGUGACGUGCGGAAAGGCGACCAAAGAGUACAUGAAGAAUUCUUGCUAUCAACUAGGGCUGGAUGCCCCCAGGAAGAAUGCCGCCCCCGUUGCAUUGCAAGGGCAAUCAGGUCAUGGCAGAAUCAAGUAGGAACUAGGAAGUAGGAAGGGACCAGUCCCGCCCCCAGCGACAAAGACUCCGACAACGGUGACGGCAGUGUGUCCCGGCGAGCGUGAGCAAUGGAAGCAUAAUCUCCAAGUAACUGACCAAGACGUUGUCCAGGUCACACGUCGAGGACUUCCUGCCGCCACCUUGGCUGCUGUUGUUGUCCCCUCAAAUAAGCCAUAUAAGGCAUCCCUAGCUGCACUUGCAGGUCAAAAACAUGUGCAUACUUCGGUAGGCACAACAAGCAGACCUAUACAAAUUUGCUACAAAGGCCUGAGCUACU